Molecule: ribosomal RNA, 502 nt
Filed under: uncultured Glomeromycotina
Lineage: Eukaryota; Fungi; Glomeromycota
Description: partial small subunit ribosomal RNA
Rfam family: Eukaryotic small subunit ribosomal RNA
Source: RNAcentral
CCAAUAGCGUAUAUUAAAGUUGUUGCAGUUAAAAAGCUCGUAGUUGAACUUCGGGGUUUACCCAUUGGUCAGGCUUAAUUGUCUGUACUGGUGAGAUAAAUCUCUACCUUCUGAGGAACUUUCAUGUCAUUAAUUUGGUGUGAUUGGAAAUCAGGACUGUUACUUUGAAAAAAUUAGAGUGUUUAAAGCAGGCUAACGUCUGAAUACAUUAGCAUGGAAUAAUGAAAUAGGACGGACUGAUUCUAUUUCGUUGGUUUUUAGGAUCACCGUAAUGAUUAAUAGGGAUAGUCGGGUGCAUUAGUAUUCAAUUGUCAGAGGUGAAAUUCUUGGAUUUAUUGAAGACCAACUACUGCGAAAGCAUUUGCCAAGGAUGUUUUCAUUAAUCAAGAACGAAAGUUAGGGGAUCGAAGACGAUCAGAUACCGUCGUAGUCUUAACCAUAAACUAUGCCGACUAGGGAUCGGACGAAGUUAAUUUUAUAAUGACGCGUUCGGCACCUUACG